This 252-nucleotide ribosomal RNA is filed under the name uncultured bacterium. Its description in RNAcentral is "partial 16S ribosomal RNA". It matches the Rfam family "Bacterial small subunit ribosomal RNA", at positions 524 to 776 of the family's 1533-position model. The record is from RNAcentral.
UACGUAGGGGGCAAGCGUUGUCCGGAUUUAUUGGGCGUAAAGAGCGUGUAGGCGGCUUUGCAAGUCCGUUGUGAAAACUCGAGCUCAACCUCGAGACGCCGGUGGAAACUGCAAAGCUAGAGUCCGGAAGAGGAGAGUGGAAUUCCCGGUGUAGUGGUGAAAUGCGUAGAUAUCGGGAGGAACACCAGUGGCGAAGGCGACUACCUGGCCUGUUCUUGACGCUGAGGCGCGAAAGCUAGGGGAGCAAACGGG